AGAUUGAACGCUGGCGGAAUGCUUUACACAUGCAAGUCGAACGGCAGCACGGGACUCAGGCAACUGAGCCCUGGUGGCGAGUGGCGAACGGGUGAGUAACAUAUCGGAACGUGCCCAGUCGUGGGGGAUAACGCAGUGAAAGCUGUGCUAAUACCGCAUACGAUCUAUGGAUGAAAGCGGGGGACUCGCAAGAGCCUCGCGCGAUUGGAGCGGCCGAUAUCAGAUUAGCUAGUUGGUAGGGUAAAGCCCACCAAGGCGACGAUCUGUAGCUGGUCUGGAGAGGACGACCAGCCACACUGGAACUGAGACACGGUCCAGACUCCGUAGGGAGCAGGCUAGGUGGGGAAUUUUGGACUAAGUGGGCGCAAGCCUAGACUCCGAGCAAGUCGCCG
This 392-nucleotide ribosomal RNA is filed under the name uncultured soil bacterium. RNAcentral describes it as "bacterial SSU rRNA". It matches the Rfam family "Bacterial small subunit ribosomal RNA", at positions 26 to 400 of the family's 1533-position model. The record is from RNAcentral.